GGCGAACGGGUGAGUAACACGUGAGUAACCUGCCCUUGACUCUAGGAUAAGCCCGGGAAACUGGGUCUAAUACUGGAUAGGAACGUCUACCGCAUGGUGGAUGUUGGAAAGAAUUUCGGUCAUGGAUGGACUCGCGGCCUAUCAGCUUGUUGGUGAGGUAAUGGCUCACCAAGGCGACGACGGGUAGCCGGCCUGAGAGGGUGACCGGCCACACUGGGACUGAGACACGGCCCAGACUCCUACGGGAGGCAGCAGUGGGGAAUAUUGCACAAUGGGCGAAAGCCUGAUGCAGCGACGCCGCGUGAGGGAUGACGGCCUUCGGGUUGUAAACCUCUUUCAGUAGGGAAGAAGCGAAAGUGACGGUACCUGCAGAAGAAGCACCGGCUAACUACGUGCCAGCAGCCGCGGUAAUACGUAGGGUGCGAGCGUUAUCCGGAAUUAUUGGGCGUAAAGAGCUCGUAGGCGGUUUGUCGCGUCUGUCGUGAAAGUCCGGGGCUUAACCCCGGAUCUGCGGUGGGUACGGGCAGACUAGAGUGCAGUAGGGGAGACUGGAAUUCCUGGUGUAGCGGUGGAAUGCGCAGAUAUCAGGAGGAACACCGAUGGCGAAGGCAGGUCUCUGGGCUGUAACUGACGCUGAGGAGCGAAAGCAUGGGGAGCGAACAGGAUUAGAUACCCUGGUAGUCCAUGCCGUAAACGUUGGGCACUAGGUGUGGGGAACAUUCCACGUUUUCCGCGCCGCAGCUAACGCAUUAAGUGCCCCGCC
Molecule: ribosomal RNA, 763 nt
Filed under: Micrococcus sp. A2b-9
Lineage: Bacteria; Bacillati; Actinomycetota; Actinomycetes; Micrococcales; Micrococcaceae
Also listed under: 2 other names
Description: bacterial SSU rRNA
Rfam family: Bacterial small subunit ribosomal RNA
Source: RNAcentral